This 4077-nucleotide small RNA is filed under the name uncultured Chroococcidiopsis sp. Its description in RNAcentral is "bacterial LSU rRNA". The stretch from base 1562 to 4077 matches the Rfam family "Bacterial large subunit ribosomal RNA", at positions 1 to 2552 of the family's 2925-position model. Lineage: Bacteria; Bacillati; Cyanobacteriota; Cyanophyceae; Chroococcidiopsidales; Chroococcidiopsidaceae. The record is from RNAcentral.
CGAAAGCCUGACGGAGCAAUACCGCGUGAGGGAGGAAGGCUCUUGGGUUGUAAACCUCUUUUCUCAGGGAAGAACACAAUGACGGUACCUGAGGAAUCAGCAUCGGCUAACUCCGUGCCAGCAGCCGCGGUAAUACGGAGGAUGCAAGCGUUAUCCGGAAUGAUUGGGCGUAAAGCGUCCGCAGGUGGCUUUGCAAGUCUGCUGUCAAAGCUCAGGGCUUAACCCUGAAUCGGCGGUGGAAACUGAAAGGCUAGAGUGCGGUAGGGGUGGAGGGAAUUCCCAGUGUAGCGGUGAAAUGCGUAGAGAUUGGGAAGAACACCAGUGGCGAAAGCGCUCUGCUAGACCGCAACUGACACUCAUGGACGAAAGCUAGGGGAGCGAAUGGGAUUAGAUACCCCAGUAGUCCUAGCCGUAAACGAUGGAUACUAGGCGUUGAGAGUAUCGACCCUCUCAGUGCCGUAGCUAACGCGUUAAGUAUCCCGCCUGGGGAGUACGCACGCAAGUGUGAAACUCAAAGGAAUUGACGGGGGCCCGCACAAGCGGUGGAGUAUGUGGUUUAAUUCGAUGCAACGCGAAGAACCUUACCAGGACUUGACAUGUCGCGAAUCCUUAGGAAACUAGGGAGUGCCUUCGGGAGCGCGAACACAGGUGGUGCAUGGCUGUCGUCAGCUCGUGUCGUGAGAUGUUGGGUUAAGUCCCGCAACGAGCGCAACCCUCGUGCUUAGUUGCCAUCAUUAAGUUGGGAACUCUAAGCAGACUGCCGGUGACAAACCGGAGGAAGGUGGGGAUGACGUCAAGUCAGCAUGCCCCUUACGUUCUGGGCAACACACGUACUACAAUGCUACGGACAAAGGGCAGCAAGAGUGCGAAUUCAAGCUAAUCUCAUAAACCGUGGCUCAGUUCAGAUCGCAGGCUGCAACUCGCCUGCGUGAAGGCGGAAUCGCUAGUAAUCCCAGAUCAGCACGCUGGGGUGAAUACGUUCCCGGGCCUUGUACACACCGCCCGUCACACCAUGGAAGCUGGCUCUGCCCGAAGUCGUUACCCUAACCCUUGUGGAGGGGGAUGCCGAAGGUGUGGCUGGUGACUGGGGUGAAGUCGUAACAAGGUAGCCGUACCGGAAGGUGUGGCUGGAUCACCUCCUUUAAAGGGAGACCUACCCUGGCUGAUACCGAAACAAAAGAGAUUAGGAUCAACCCAAGGUCAUCCCAGGUCGAGCGAGAUAGGUAAUGCUUGCUUUUAAACUAUAUUCGGUUCGGGAAACUCGCGCUAUCCGUGCGGUAGAGUUCGGUUGUGCCCACUUGGCUACCCCUAUUGGGUUGUUAAAGUAGGGAAGUGCGAUCAAAAGCAUUGCUAAAAAGCAAUUAACUUAAAACUUUAAAUUAAUCGGAUCAACGAAUUCAGCAUCAGGCGAUUAAUAGCUUGAAUGCUGGACAAGUGUCCAGUCUUGAACCUUGAAAACUGCAUAGCAACUUGUCAAAUGUAAUGAGAGCGCAUUAGUCUAUCAGUUUUAGGCUGAUAGAGUAACGCAUCAAUUGCAGGUAGACACCAAUGUUUUAAAAGUGGUCAAGCGAAAAAGGGCUUACGGUGGAUACCUAGGCACACAGAGGCGAAGAAAGACGUGGCAACCGACGAAAAGCUCCCGGGGAGCUGGCAGCAAGCAUUGAACCGGAGGUAUCCGAAUGGGGCAACCUGAUAUACAGCCUGUUGAAUCCAUAGACAGGUAUGAGCCAACCCAGCGAACUGAAACAUCUUAGUAGCUGGAGGAAAAGAAAGCAAAAGCGAUUUCCCAAGUAGUGGUGAGCGAACGGGAACCAGCCUAAACCAGUUGAUAAUUCAACUGGGGUUGUGGGACAGCGACAUGGAAUCUAGACGCUAGACGAAGCAGGUUGAAUACUGCACCAGAGAGAGUGAUAGUCUCGUAGUCGAAAGCGAAAAAGAUACUAGCUGGAUCCCGAGUAGCACGGGACACGAGGAAUCCCGUGUGAAUCUGCGAGGACCAUCUUCGUAAGGCUAAAUACUACUGUGUGACCGAUAGUGAACCAGUACCGCGAGGGAAAGGUGAAAAGAACCCCGGAAGGGGAGUGAAAUAGAACAUGAAACCGUAAGCUUACAAGCAGUGGGAGGACGAUUCAACGUCUGACCGCGUGCCUGUUGAAGAAUGAGCCGGCGACUUAUAAGCACUGGUAGGUUAAGACGAAACGGUUGAAGCCAAAGCGAAAGCGAGUCUGAACAGGGCGCAAUUAAUCAGUGUUUAUAGACCCGAACCCGGGUGAUCUAACCAUGUCCAGGAUGAAGCUUGGGUAACACCAAGUGGAGGUCCGCACCGACCGAUGUUGAAAAAUCGGCGGAUGAGGUGUGGUUAGGGGUGAAAUGCCAAUCGAACCCGGAGCUAGCUGGUUCUCCCCGAAAUGUGUUGAGGCGCAGCGGUAGUGAAUAUAGUCUGGGGGUAAAGCACUGUUUCGAUGCGGGCUGCCUCAAGCGGUACCAAAUCGAGACAAACUCAGAAUACCAGAUGCACACACUACUAGUGAGACGGUGGGGGAUAAGCUUCAUCGUCGAGAGGGAAACAGCCCAGACCACCAGCUAAGGUCCCAAAAUCAUCGCUCAGUGGUAAAGGAGGUGGGAGUGCACAGACAACCAGGAGGUUUGCCUAGAAGCAGCCAUCCUUGAAAGAGUGCGUAAUAGCUCACUGGUCAAGCGCUCCUGCGCCGAAAAUGAACGGGACUAAGCGAUGUACCGAAGCUGUGGAAUACAGAUUGUAUUGGUAGGGGAGCGUUCUGCUGAGAGAGAAGCACUAGCGGCAAGCAGGUGUGGACGAAGCAGAAGUGAGAAUGUCGGCUUGAGUAGCGCAAACAUUGGUGAGAAUCCAAUGCCCCGAAAUCCCAAGGGUUCCUCCGGCAGGCUCGUCCGCGGAGGGUUAGUCAGGUCCUAAGGCGAGGCCGAACGGCGUAGUCGAUGGACAACGGGUCAAAAAUCCCGUACUAAGGGUAAGUAGUGCAGAGGGACGGAGAAGGUAUGUACCAGCCGGAUGUUGGUUACCGGUGCAACUAAUCGAGGCGAUGAGAAGCGGCGAAAACGCUUCGAGCUGGGAUUAGGAGUCCGAACUCCUACGGGAGUGAAGUGGUGGCAAUCAAGCUUCCAAGAAAAGCUCUAAGCACGUUAACUUACACUUACCUGUACCCGAAACCGACACAGGUGGGAAGGUUGAGUAAACUAAGGGGCGCGAGAUAACUCUCUCUAAGGAACUCGGCAACAUGGCCCCGUAACUUCGGAAGAAGGGGUGCCCACGCGAGUGGGUCGCAGUGAAGAGAUCCAGGCGACUGUUUACCAAAAACACAGGUCUCCGCAAAGUCAAAUGACGACGUAUGGGGGCUGACGCCUGCCCAGUGCCGGAAGGUUAAGGAAGUCGGUCAGGGAGAAAUCCUAAAGCUGGCGACUGAAGCCCCGGUGAACGGCGGCCGUAACUAUAACGGUCCUAAGGUAGCGAAAUUCCUUGUCGGGUAAGUUCCGACCCGCACGAAAGGCGUAACGAUCUGGAUGGUGUCUCAGAGAGAGACUCGGCGAAAUAGGAAUGUCUGUGAAGAUACGGACUACCUGCACCAGGACAGAAAGACCCUAUGAAGCUUUACUGUAGCCUGGAAUGGGGUUCGGGCUUUGCUUGCGCAGGAUAGGUGGGAGGCGUUGAACUUGCUCUUGUGGGAGCAAGGGAGCCAACGGUGAGAUACCACUCUGGCGAAGCUAGAAUUCUAACCCGUAGCCGUGAUCCGGCAUGGGAACAGUUUCAGGUGGGCAGUUUGACUGGGGCGGUCGCCUCCUAAAGCGUAACGGAGGCGCGCAAAGGUUCCCUCAGGCUGGUUGGAAAUCAGCCGCAGAGUGUAAAAGCACAAGGGAGCUUGACUGCAAGAGACACAGCUCGAGCAGGUAGGAAACUAGGCUUUAGUGAUCCGACGGCAGUGUAUGGAAGCGCCGUCGCUCAACGGAUAAAAGUUACUCUAGGGAUAACAGGCUGAUCUCCCCCAAGAGUCCACAUCGACGGGGAGGUUUGGCACCUCGAUGUCGGCUCAUCGCAACCUGGGG